This 319-nucleotide long non-coding RNA is filed under the name Androctonus crassicauda. Lineage: Eukaryota; Metazoa; Arthropoda; Arachnida; Scorpiones; Buthidae. The record is from RNAcentral.
CUCGACAGACCGGCCCGGCACUCGCCAAAACCGGUAGCCCGUCACGUGAUUACCAUGGCAACUGCCGGGUGUCCGGUAAAACCGGGACAAUGGACACCCGCCUUAAAAAUUUUAUCGUCAGAUGCCGACCCAGGACGCGAACUGUCCUCCCGCAUGGCACGCCAAUGUGUUACCAUGCGGCCAUCUAUUUUUUUUAUUAAAAACGUUUAUUUUUAUAAACAUUUUCUAUUAUAUUUAAUUUUAAAAAACACUCAAAAUGAUAAAUUAGAAAUACUUGGAAAUGGAAUUGUUUUAUAUCUUAAUAUUUGGAUCAUUUAAC